RNAcentral lists this ribosomal RNA (853 nucleotides) under uncultured bacterium. Its description in RNAcentral is "bacterial SSU rRNA". It matches the Rfam family "Bacterial small subunit ribosomal RNA", at positions 28 to 896 of the family's 1533-position model. The record is from RNAcentral.
GACGAACGCUGGCGGCGUGCUUAACACAUGCAAGUCGAGCGAUGAAACACCUUCGGGUGUGAAUUAGCGGCGAACGGGUGAGGAACACGUGAGAAAUCUGCCUUCAACACUGGGAUAACUCCGGGAAACCGGGGCUAAUACCGGAUAUGAAAUCUGCGGGCAUCCGCGGAUUUGGAAAGUUUUUCGGUUGAAGAUGAUCUCGCGGCCUAUCAGCUUGUUGGUGAGGUAAUGGCUCACCAAGGCGACGACGGGUAGCCGGCCUGAGAGGGCGACCGGCCACACUGGGACUGAGACACGGCCCAGACUCCUACGGGAGGCAGCAGUGGGGAAUAUUGGGCAAUGGAGGAAACUCUGACCCAGCGACGCCGCGUGCGGGAUGAAGGCCUUCGGGUUGUAAACCGCUUUCAGCAGGGAAGAAGCGAAAGUGACGGUACCUGCAGAAGAAGCACCGGCUAACUAUGUGCCAGCAGCCGCGGUAAUACAUAGGGUGCAAGCGUUGUCCGGAAUUAUUGGGCGUAAAGAGCUCGUAGGUGGUUCGUCACGUCGGAUGUGAAACUCUGGGGCUUAACCCCUGACCUGCAUCCGAUACGGUCGAGCUAGAGUUUGGUAGGGGAGACUGGAAUUCCUGGUGUAGCGGUGGAAUGCGCAGAUAUCAGGAGGAACACCGAUGGCGAAGGCAGGUCUCUGGGCCAAUAUUGACACUGAGGAGCGAAAGCGUGGGGGGCGAACAGGAUUAGAUACCCUGGUAGUCCACGCCGUAAACGGUGGGCGCUAGUUGUGCGAACCUUCCACGGUUUGUGCGACGCAGCUAACGCAUUAAGCGCCCCGCCUGGGGAGUACGAUCGCAAGAUUA